RNAcentral lists this long non-coding RNA (413 nucleotides) under Lepidothrix coronata (blue-crowned manakin). RNAcentral's name for it is "lncRNA (ENSLCOG00000014542.1)". Lineage: Eukaryota; Metazoa; Chordata; Aves; Passeriformes; Pipridae. The record is from RNAcentral.
CCCCAGCCUGGGGAGACCCAGAAGGUUUCCCACCUGCACCUUUAGCCUGUGGAUAUGGCCAUGGAUUGCUGUGUGAUCCUGCAGGAUCUGAUUCACUGUCUGCAGGGAAUCUGGGGUUUAAGAUGUUGGAAGCAGUCCAAGAACUGCGUUGUACCCCAUCAAAAUGAAGUUUUCAUGGCAUGAACGUGAAGAUGCUGCAUGCCUUGGAUGUGCCCUGAACACAUACUGGGAAUUCCUGAGGGUGCAAAGUCUCCUGGAGCAGCACAAGGAGUCAUCUUUAAAACAUCUAAGUGUUCAUUUUGGGGUUUUUUAAGAAUUCAAAGAGUUAAUGAAGUAUUUUGCUCCAGAGGGAAAUCCAUGAGUGAAUUACAGCAUCCUAGACACGAGUUAUUUGGGAGAACAGAAAAGCACAG